GCCUGGCUGGCUCAGUUGGUAGAGCAUGUGACUCUUGACCUCAGAGUUGUAGGUUUGAGCCCCACGAUGGGUG
RNAcentral lists this transfer RNA (73 nucleotides) under Ursus americanus (American black bear). It matches the Rfam family "tRNA". From Rfam's summary of the family: Transfer RNA (tRNA) molecules are approximately 80 nucleotides in length. Their secondary structure includes four short double-helical elements and three loops (D, anti-codon, and T loops). RNAcentral also lists the same sequence under 2 other names. Lineage: Eukaryota; Metazoa; Chordata; Mammalia; Carnivora; Ursidae. The record is from Rfam by way of RNAcentral.